This is a long non-coding RNA of Mus caroli (Ryukyu mouse), 438 nucleotides long. RefSeq lists it as uncharacterized. Lineage: Eukaryota; Metazoa; Chordata; Mammalia; Rodentia; Muridae. The record is from RefSeq and is a predicted model, not a curated record.
AAGAGAAGAUUUUGAAAAGCAGAGACUGGUAGAAGAAUGAAGAAAGAGGGGAAAGUGGAAGCAGUCGACACACGAGAGACAAGCAGCACAUCUGUGCAGUGUGAAGGGAGAGGGCCUAUAUGAUCCACACCAAGGAGUCAGCGGUCUGGAUUUCCAAUCCUACAAUAAAUGAAGGACAGCUGGAAUCCUCACAAAACAUCACACAUAUUCUGCAGAGUGCUGAACCCUGGUGAACUUUGUGAAGAUCCACUACCACUGGCCUGGCAAUCAUUUCUCUCUUUCCAGAUCUCAAAGUUGGGAGUUGCAGUGUGAAGACGCUAAAUAGUGUGUUUUAGAGCAAGAGGUAUUAAUUCAACAUUGGAAAGACCACUGGUACCCAACAGACCCUUCCAGCUGAGUUCAGAAAGUGUGCUCUCAAGAUCCAAGCUCUCCUUGUGC